Molecule: non-coding RNA, 23 nt
Filed under: Cricetulus griseus (Chinese hamster)
Lineage: Eukaryota; Metazoa; Chordata; Mammalia; Rodentia; Cricetidae
Source: RNAcentral
UUUGACUGGGGAAGCAAGGCCAA